RNAcentral lists this ribosomal RNA (292 nucleotides) under uncultured bacterium. RNAcentral describes it as "partial 16S ribosomal RNA". It matches the Rfam family "Bacterial small subunit ribosomal RNA", at positions 505 to 796 of the family's 1533-position model. The record is from RNAcentral.
GUGUCAGCAGCCGCGGUAAUACAGAGGCCUCGAGCGUUAGGCGGAAUCACUGGGCUUAAAGCGUGUGUAGGUGGAUGCCUAAGUACCUUGUGAAAUCCCACGGCUUAACUGUGGAACUGCUUGGUAUACUGGGUGUCUUGAGCCACUCAGGGGCUACUGGAACAAACGGUGGAGCGGUGAAAUGCGUAGAUAUCGUUUGGAACGCCAAUGGUGAAAACAAGUAGCUGGGGGUGUGCUGACACUGAGACACGAAAGCCAGGGGAGCAAACGGGAUUAGAUACCCCUGUAGUCC